This 5915-nucleotide long non-coding RNA is filed under the name Sus scrofa (pig). RNAcentral's name for it is "lncRNA (ENSSSCG00000060648.1)". Lineage: Eukaryota; Metazoa; Chordata; Mammalia; Artiodactyla; Suidae. The record is from RNAcentral.
GAAGCUGGCACUACCACUCAAGUGCCUAGGAGCACUGACAGACAUGCCUUUUUAAGAGAAAUGAACACAUGUUGGUGAUCAGGCAUCGAGCCUUAAGGAUAUUAAAUCAGGACUUGGAAAGCAGAGUGUAUGAAGAUUUAAUGAUAGAAGUUAAAAAGCUGUAAACUGUGGUUAAUGAGAAAUGCCGAGGUAAGAAUAUCAACCAAGUAAUGGAGAAAUAAAAUCUGAAAGAAAUGUCUCACAGGCUAAGGAACUCAUUCAGCAAGAGAUGAUGGACUGAACUGAAGAUGUGAAUGGAAUCCUCUAGUGACAGAGUCUGGGAAGAAGAUAUUCAUGGGCAACUACAUGAUUCGAAUAGAUAAAUUCAAUUAGCUCUUCUUGGGAAGCCUCAGUUUACUUUAUCACUCGGUAUUUCAAAGAGUUUUAAAGAAAUUCUAAUUACUGCAUAAGAAAUAAGUCAAAUUCCUCUUCUCUCACUGUCAAGGGCUUUUAUUACCCACUGCUAUAAAACAUAUAUGUUUUUUUUUUUUUCUGUUGCUAUCCUAGCAGAGUAGCCUGCAUACCAAUAGGAUCACUAAAAUGCCACGAAGCAGAACAUAUUUAUCUGUUAAAUUCUAUGUACAGUAACCUAACAAAUGCCAAAGACAGAAAGAUUGCCCUCUGCACAGUAAUACUCGUGUAGAUGUCUUCUUUAUGCUAACAAUGACAGGGCUUCAUGCCUUGUACUGUACUCAAAAAUCAGAGUGCAUUUUUUAAAAUAGAAGACUCUGUAUCAAAAAGAAAAAGAACUGCACAUUUUUGUCACGGAGAUAUUUUAUGUGGAUAAUAAAUUUUUUUCCCUCGAACUCUACUAACUACAAGUAUCUACCUAGAAGAUGAAAUGUAAGAUUUAUGUCAUCAGAACUAUUCAGUAUACCAGAGGAUUAUUUUUUCUUCUUUUCAGGACUGUCAACUUUGUUUACUGUUUAUGUUCAAUUUCAUCCUAUACGAGAGAUUAAAUAGUCUUGUCAUAGCCAAAUGUCAAACCUUGUCAGAAAAAUAAGAUAACAAAUAUAAAAUAAUAUUAAUAAGGAGUGCUUUCAAAGAGAUAUUAGAUUUCUUUAAAUCUAAAUUAUAACUGGAAUUUUAUAAUUAUAAUUAUAUUUGUACUAACCAAAAAGAGAUUUUUGCACCUAUAAUUAUAUGACGUUUCGUUUAUUUUAAAAUGGAAAUGACUAAGAGAUAAUUAAAACAUUAUUACAAGUAACUUCAAGGAAACACUUGAAAUAAUGUAAGUCCAGAAUCAGCAUGUAUAUCAUCAGAUCUUGUUAGCCUCUUACAUGCAUUUUUAAUACAAAUGUAAUCAUUUGGCUAUUGAAAUCAUUCUUUAAAAAAAUGAUAUCAAAUGGUGUUAUAUAAACAUAAGCUUUUUUUUACCCUUGCUACAUUAAACUUUUUAUAAUGCAAAUUCAAUCUCAAAACAAUAAAUAAUAACAUGUAUAAUGACAAUAACUGAAUCCUAACUAAUUGUAGUACUUCUGCAUAGCCUAGUAACAAUUUAUGAAUUGUGAAUAAUAAAUCUAUUUGACAGGCCUGUUAGCAAUAAGGCCUUCAGCUUCUUGCUUUGCAGCAGAAUGAAGUAAAAUCUAUCUUUUCUUGCUGUUGUUAAAAACAUUUGAACAGUUCUUUUUCACAGAAAAUGCUGCAGGAAGGUUCCAGGUUAAAAUAACAAAAAUUAGCAUAGUUGUUUUGUACACUUGACUAUUAUUGGCCAGGAUACAUGAUAAGUUAAAACAUACUGAGAGAUUAUUUUUUUAAGAGGGAAAACUUGAUAGAGGUUUGUAUUUCUAGAUUAGAGAGUGGACACUAUAAUCUUUCUGGUAUUGUAAAACUGAAGCUGGCUGCAGGAAAAAUAAACAUUACAAUUACCCGGCACUUAAACAAUUGUACCUAUACAGUUAAGUAACAAAAGCAUGAUGCACCUGGAAUCACAGCAUUUGUGCCUAAUGCCAGCAACAAUAUAAAGCAUUCAAGUGACAUUUGAUAAUGAGCAGACAGUGGAGGCAUUACACAGGUCUUUAGAAGAAUCAGACUUCCUACCUUGAAAAGACAGAUGGAGGUAAGUUCCUUUAUAAAAAAAAAAAAAAAAAGUUGUAAGUAAAGCCAGGCAGCAGUUGCAGUAAAUUGAGUCCUUUCAGUCACUGUAUACAUACAGCAGUUCUGCAAUAAGGGGAAAAAUAUAAUGGGAGGAGCGGCUGUGAACGAGUGACCUCCUCAAGCUGAGUCCUCUCUGUGAACCAGGCAUUGAAAGCCACUGCUCCUGAUUUGCAUGGAUUAUCUCCACUUGAACAGAUACAGAGCAGAUACAUUUAAAUUGAGCUGGCACAAUGGCAAAAAGAUGGAAGAGUGAAUGAAUGAGGGGCAGCGCAAGAGAGGGAGAGAGAAAGAGAAACAGACACGAGAUCGGAGAGCGUGGAUAAGCUGGUUCUUGCAGAACUGUGUCUCAGAAGAGCUACAGCUCCCUCUUCAUGUCACAGUUGUAAGAUAAGAAAUGUUGUCAUUAAGAACUGGUUAAUCAUAGGGAAAAAUUUACUCAGAUUAGCUGAUGCUCCAUCUGAGCCAUCAGAUUUUUAUGAACAUUUUAUGACUUUCUCUUUUAUCAGGAUUUUAGAUACCAAAAAAUCUUUUGUUUAGUAGAGAGGUAAACAGAUUUGGAUAAAACUCUGAGUUUUGAAUCAGAUCAGAGCUCUGACUUGAUUGGAAUAUAUUGGAAUAUAUGUCAGUAAGUGAAUCUAGAUAAUUUGUCAAGCAGAAUAUUUAUUUUGAAAAAAUUAAUCCCUAUUUUAAAGGGUAGUGGUAUAUAUAGCAAUAUAAAAAGAAUUUCAAUGUUUAUUAAUGAUCAAGGAUCUGAAAGGAUCCAAAUAUACAACUGAAAAAGAGGAUUUUUAAAUUUCUUUAAGUUGUUAAUUGUUUUUUUUUUCCUUCAUAUUAUCUCUUUCCGGCUUGCAGAAUAGAACUUUCUAUACAAUACAGAUGUAUCUUAAAGCAUACGAUUAUUUGCUUUUCCAUUUACCAUCUUCAGAGCUUUAAAUAUUCGUAUUCUCAUUUGACAUGAGAAAAGGAGAAGGGGAUAUGGUUGUAACUCCUGCCAACAGUCACUCAAUAAGUCCGUGGCAGAUCUCAGAAGAAAAGAAUAACCCUCAUUUAGCAAGUUAAUGUGAAGCUUGCCUUCUCUUUGUGUAAAGGUGUCUGUGGAUACCCAAACAGCCAGGCAAUUAGGUCAAAUUCAAAGGAAAAAAAUCAGUCAAACCAGCUGGUUGACUGAAUUGAUCACAGCCUUGGGGAAGCUCGUAUUAACUGGGUGUGAAUGAAAUGACAUCGAUUAAAUCUAUUUCAACAAAUGACAUUAAAACUCUCAACAGAAACAUGCGAGUGAUAUUUUCAGAAAGUAGUGAGACAAGUUAGAUUUUUACUGCUGUGGGAAUCUGCAUUUUUUUUUUUUUUUUCUGUCAGGGAAAAUAAAGAAUUUAAACACACAGUACUUCAAAGAACAUUGACUUGAUGGACAGAAGUGAUACCUUAAAAGAAAUCCCCAGAAAUAUGCCAACAUAUAUUUCCAUGAGGUUUAGUGAAGGUUUGGAAUUUCAGAAAUGUGCAGACUUAGUGACCAUAACUAUAUUUAGGAAACAAUUGCUUGAAAAUAGAAGGGUGAAGACGAUAGUUAUUUUAUGAUUCUGACAUCCAAUAGUCUGACUGCUCACUAAGUGGAUGGGUUAGUUCUCAGGUUUUUGAUAUCAGCUUGAACACAGCUAGUACACAGGUCAGAAAUGGAAUGUUAUUGCGGUCUUCAUGGUACUUUUCAGGUUGUAAACUCUUUAGAGUCAGGGACCACAGAAUAGCCUUUAAACAAUUUCUCCAAAUAUUAUGAAAGUGUCCUUUACAUAUUUCAGAUGUUUCAUAAAUAUUUUUAGAAAAGAUAUUUACAAUAAUGACAUAGCAUUUAUAUUCACUUUACCAGUUGCUUAAUGUAAAAAUUGGAUUCAGAAAUUAAGAAUGUAUUUCUUAUGUACCCAUAAGAAAUAAAUAUCAUUUAAAUGUCUUGCCAUACAUAGGACUGCAAUAACAACAGCAGCAGUGCUGGAUUGUAUAUUGACAUGAAAGCUUAAUUGGGAACCUCCUUCAUUAUACAAGGGGGUACCUUCGAGAAAGUAGGAAGGUAUGGUUAGGAUUUGAAUAACAACUUUCUGAGCAUCAAUGUUGACUCAACUCAGACAAUUAUCAGCUUUGUGACUAUGGCGAAUUACUUGUUUGUAAAAUGGUGAUAAUAAACUGACCUUUAUUAUAUGGUUGGCCUAAGGAAUAAAGAAAAGGGCUUAGCAUAGCACCUGGAUAAAUAAUCAGUGUAUCUUAUUGUUACAGUUAUUGUAAAUAUGUCUUCCAUUGAACCUGAUUGCCUCUCUCUGAACUGGGAAGUGUUACUACCACUGUCUAUUAGAUGUAGAAAAUAGAUGACUCUUUGUCUGUUCUUGGGUUUUUUGGUCAUUAUAUGAGGAGGACUUCUUCCUGGUCCCUGACAACCAGAAGGGCUGGGGCCUCUACCUUUUUACAAAAGACAGAAAUAGAAAAACUAUUCUCAGGAGAGCUAGAGAGUGUUGCAGCAGCAGAUCCAACCUUCUGUACAGGAAUAGGAAAUGGCUUGUGUGGUACAAUGUGAAGGGCACCCAGAAGCUCCCAGUCCAGAAAUAUCUUCCCAUCUGUCCUCUCCUAUUUCCUGAAAUGCCACCAUUAGGGUUCAUUUCUAUGUUUCACUGGCUUCCCAUUCUCUUUUUCAACACACACACUACUGGCAGAAUUAACACAUUAACAAGUUUACACUUCGAAAAACACAUGAAUUCAUAAUUGUUUUAAUGAUUCUCUCAAAGAUGCUUUCUUCUGGUAACUUGCUGAAGAUUAACAAGGCCAAGGAAAAGCCAGAUCUCAGUGAAGAUGCAGAGAAAGCCCGUUAUUAGGUCUACGGAAGUGUGUGGGGAUGAAGCCCCAGUAAGGACGGUUCUCUGCCUGUGUCUGUGUGCACCUGGAUCCGCUGUGAUGUGAGAGACCCUGCAGCAGGUGCUCAGAGAGUAACCUGGAGGUACUCACCCCCGAGACACUGGGAUGAAGAGCAAGGACACAUUCUUUCAUUCAACACAGUUGACUGAGUGUUUUGUUAGCAAAAACCGGACUAUGUAUAUGAAAAUAGAUGGCCCUUACUCUCUUUUCUAGUGGAGAUGAUGGAAAACAGAUACGUGAACAGGUUGAUCCUAAUACUGGAUAUCUAUACAAAAGAAAAGAACCCAGAGGAAAAGCAGAGUUGGAGUAAUUAAGAAAGCCUUUAUGAAUGGGGCAAUGCUUAACAGGACUCUUGAAGGCACAGUGGGAGCUGCUGGGGCAAGCAAGAGAUGCAGGAAAAGGGGCUGCAGGCAUGUUCUAGGUCAAGUGAACAUGGAACAGAGUGGGGCAACAUGCAAGAGGCAACCACCCGGGACAAUCAAUCGAGUAUGCUCUGAGCACAGAGCAGAAGGAUGAGCGGGAAAUGGAGAGACAUGUGACUGAAAUGUGAGGAAAGAAUUGAAGAGCCCGUCACAGAAAGGAGACAUGGGCACAACCCCUGCAGAGACGUUAUACCUCUGGGCCUUAGCCUGAGACCUUCCUGUCACUCUGUACAUCUAGGGUAUGUGUUCAUCUGCCCACCCCCCAGCCCUGGGAACACACACUUAGGAAGAUGUUUAAAUGACAAGGAAAACUGCCCUCGGUGAGAAAAGGGGGAUGAAUUGCCAAUUAGAUUAGAGAUUUAAGUCCUAGGGAGUUGAAAUAUUCCAAAAUUGUUUGUGAGAAUCUGGCAUCCCAUUCCCCAACCUAAAGUGCUGUAUGGCAUAUUCAUAUAUGAAUUAAAAUUA